GCCAUACCACUUUGACGUAUUAUUCAAGAGCGUGGAUCUGCACUUGUUGAAACCAAUGCAGUCCUAAACCAAAAAGCUUGACAGAAUUCAUAGAGUGCUUAUCUUUUCUUUGUAGGUUUCAGAAUUCCUUCCUUCAUGUGCGCUUGAUCUUGUUCAUUAUAAGAUCCUUUCUCUUCUUGCCUUUUCCUUGUUUCCACUGUUUCAAACCUUCUUGAAGAUUGACCAACUUCAAAAACACGACGAGUACCAGUUGUGACUGUUGUUCCCACCGAAGACGUGAUAUUAGAAUCUGUGGAGACUUGUUAGCCUUGAUAGAGCCCCUGAUAAGAAGUUCCCCUAACAUGUUGGUUAAGUCCUUCUCUUG
This 364-nucleotide small RNA is filed under the name Arabidopsis thaliana (thale cress). Its description in RNAcentral is "ATSL100590". Lineage: Eukaryota; Viridiplantae; Streptophyta; Magnoliopsida; Brassicales; Brassicaceae. The record is from RNAcentral.